This is a non-coding RNA of Paramisgurnus dabryanus, 902 nucleotides long. NCBI's taxonomy places the organism in Eukaryota, Metazoa, Chordata, Actinopteri, Cypriniformes, Cobitidae. The record is from RefSeq and is a predicted model, not a curated record.
GGUUAAUAAAAUGCUUAAAAAUCAACGUUGAAAUUUGGUUGAAAUAGCGUCAGUUGUUUGUUCAACGUUGAUUCAACGUUGAAACAACGUUGAAACAACAGUGAAGUAAAUGGUUGCAGAGAGACAAUAAAAUAAUGUUUUAUAAUAUGUGAAUCAUUCAGAAAAAAAAUUUAAAAACUCACUUUAUAAAAUUGAUGACAUUAUGAAAAAAUGUAACAAAUAAUUGAAUAUACAGGUAGCGACGUAAUCUCGCGAGAUUACACGAGAUUGGACUGUUUUAACGGCUGUCUUCGAGAUCUUGCGUAUCACACGAGAAAAUGCUUCAGAGAAAGAAGAGAGCCCUUCAAAUUAGAAAAGUGAGGAUGAUCUUGUCAAUGCUGAGAUUUUCAUGCAUCAGCAGCCACUACAUCUGGAUCAGAUUGAACAAGAAACGGACAGCAAGGGUUGUCAGAUCAGAAACAGAAUGACACACAAACAAGAAACUUCACAGGCAGAUCAACAUGCAAUUUGAAGACGUGUGAUAAAAUACAGAGAGGUGAAGUAGUGUGUCUUUCCAGAUCCCCAAAUCAUUCCCCCUUAAAAGAUGAGCCUGAAGAGGAGAUUUGGGAAGAUGUUGUUUCAUAAGUCGCUUUGCCAGAUCACCUGUGGUCGGGAUGUCUGCUAACAAGAUGCCUUGCUGGUCUGAGCGAGUUUAAAGGCUUACACAGACAGUCCAGAAGUUCUGAAGUCCAUCUUCGAUUUCAUUGAUGCUGUCAUCGUAUUAAGUACAGCAUGAGCCAGAAUAGAUGGGUGGUGGUGGCCAUAAGAAGACUGUCAACUAAACCAACAACAAAAUUCAUAUUUGCAGUUUUUCUUGAAUAAAGUUUUUCUAUUCAGAUUAAUAAAAUGACUUUUAAACAUGA